Molecule: long non-coding RNA, 911 nt
Filed under: Phoenix dactylifera (date palm)
Lineage: Eukaryota; Viridiplantae; Streptophyta; Magnoliopsida; Arecales; Arecaceae
Description: long non-coding RNA (PDAC_LNC015998)
Source: RNAcentral
GGUUUCAUCUAUGCCGUGAAUAGGGUUUGAUCCGAGUUUGAGUGAAUAGGUUUUGGUUAGGGUCUGAACCUGAGUCAGGAAUUUGGGUUAGCCUGAUGUGAGUAUAAUCUGGUUCGCCAAGAUUUGAUCAGAUCUGGUUUGGGUUGGGUUGGGGAUCUAUGUUGGGCUGAGUUGAACCUAAUUGGAUCUGUGGGCUGGUUUGGUGUGGGCCGGUUUGAUCUGGACCUGUAAUCUGGUUUGGUUCAAUUGGGCCCAAUCUGUUUGGGCCACAAUUGGCUGUGGGUUUAAAGGAUUCUGAUUUUUGGGGUUUUGGUUUACCUGUUCUUAGGGUCUAUGUCUGAUCUUAGGGGCCCAUUCUUGGAUCCAUGAACUUAGGAAUUUAAGGGAUUGGAAAUAGUUUAAAUUAUGUUUCUUAGUUAAUUAAAUAAUUAAUGUUUGUGUUUUAAUCAGGGGUUCGUGAUAUCUGUGGCAGGGAUUUUUAAGCGAGUCAGGUAGGUGACUUAUUGCUUUAAAGUCGAAUUUUAACAUGUAUCUUGCAUAUGUUGAUGUUAUAAUUUAUUCUUGGCAUUAUGUGUUAGAAUUAGAAUUAAAUAUUUAAUUUUUUAUAAACUGUUAUGUGCCUUACUAUUGGGAGCAUGAUCAUGACUUUGAUUUGGAAAUUCACGAUGUGGAAAAUCUAUUUAUUGAUUUUUAAAGACCGCGUGACUAUAGUCUAGACCCUGCCAAUGGGAUGAUACGUUGGCCCUGUCGACUUGUACUGAGGAACUGGUUCCGACACCGUGACCACCGGUGAUAGAAUAGUGGCGGCACAGGGGUGCGUUUUGCUCUGCGGAGCGGCUCGGUGGAGCGUGAGAUUGGCACCAGGGGGUGCGGCACAGUGGUGCGUUGGCUCAGUGGAGCGGCUCUUCGGA